AUAUUGACAUUGCAGUUAUUGAGGUUAUUAGUUUUCUCUUCCUAGUCUUCUUCUUUAGUAAUUAUAUUUUAAAGUAAAUGUUUUUGUAUUUGAAUAAUGUGUCAUGCGAUAUCAUUGUGCUUCUUGGAAUGUUAAGUCAUAUGAUAUGUUUCAUUCAUAUUAAUUUGUAAUUGGAUGGCUGCUUUCCUCCUGUGUAUCUUUUUAAUGUCAAUACAUUUUUUUUUUCUUGUAACAGGCUGGUCUUGG
This 246-nucleotide unclassified non-coding RNA is filed under the name Hevea brasiliensis (rubber tree). The record is from RNAcentral. Lineage: Eukaryota; Viridiplantae; Streptophyta; Magnoliopsida; Malpighiales; Euphorbiaceae.